GCCCGCGUAGCUUAAACACAAAGCAUGACACUGAAGCUGUUAAGAAGAGCACUAGUAAUGCCCCGCUAGCA
Molecule: transfer RNA, 71 nt
Filed under: Neobathyclupea argentea (West Atlantic deep-sea herring)
Lineage: Eukaryota; Metazoa; Chordata; Actinopteri; Acropomatiformes; Bathyclupeidae
Also listed under: 1 other name
Description: tRNA-Phe
Source: RNAcentral